CCUACGGGAGGCAGCAGUGGGGAAUAUUGGGCAAUGGAGGCAACUCUGACCCAGCAACGCCGCGUGAAUGAUGAAGGUCUUCGGAUUGUAAAGUUCUGUGAUGGGGGAUGAACACAAUGACGGUACCCGAAUAGCAAGACACGGCUAACUAAGUGCCAGCAGCCGCGGUAAUAAGUAGGUGGCAAGCGUUAUCCGGAAUGCCUGGGCGUAAAGGGUUCGUAGGUGGUUUAGAAAGUGUGGGGUGUAAUUCCGGGGCUCAACCUCGGCGCUACCGCCAAAACUAUUAGACGUGAUUGCAGGAGAGGUGAGUGGAAUUCCUAGUGUAGCGGGGAAUGCGUAGAUAUUAGGAGGAACAUCAGGGGCGAAGGCGACUUACUGGACUGUAACUGACACUGAGGCACGAAAGCGUGGGGAGCAAACAGGAUUAGAUACCCUUGUAGUC
This 442-nucleotide ribosomal RNA is filed under the name uncultured bacterium. RNAcentral describes it as "partial 16S ribosomal RNA". It matches the Rfam family "Bacterial small subunit ribosomal RNA", at positions 338 to 795 of the family's 1533-position model. The record is from RNAcentral.